RNAcentral lists this ribosomal RNA (160 nucleotides) under Amanita pleropus. Its description in RNAcentral is "5.8S ribosomal RNA". It matches the Rfam family "5.8S ribosomal RNA". From Rfam's summary of the family: 5.8S ribosomal RNA (5.8S rRNA) is a component of the large subunit of the eukaryotic ribosome. The record is from RNAcentral. Lineage: Eukaryota; Fungi; Basidiomycota; Agaricomycetes; Agaricales; Amanitaceae.
ACAACUUUCAACAACGGAUCUCUUGGCUCUCGCAUCGAUGAAGAACGCAGCGAAAUGCGAUAAGUAAUGUGAAUUGCAGAAUUCAGUGAAUCAUCGAAUCUUUGAACGCACCUUGCGCUCCUUGGUAUUCCGAGGAGCAUGCCUGUUUGAGUGUCAGUAA